UUUUUUAAUUUUUUUUGCGCGUCGUGACAAACAAAAACGCACGUGCGUGACAUAUAUUAACCCCGUUUUUUCUUAUUUUCCAUGUUUGCGGUACGUUUUCGCUCGCUGCUCAUUAUUCACGCGUCUAGCGGCGGCGUUGUGGCACGGCAAGCGCGUUCCGAAAGGGGUCGAGACCGUGGUAAAUACGUGGUGGUGCGGUUGAGAGGGAGGGGUGGAAACCGUGGUAAACUCGUUCUCCGCAGUUGAGCGGGAGUGGCCAAAAGAAUGUGCAAUCGUUUUUGUAGUGGAGCUGGGAGGGGCAAGCAUAAGGGACGAAGGCAGGGGUAACAUGUCGGAUGCGAUCAUACCAGCACUAAAGCACCGGAUCCAUCAGAACUCCGAAGUUAAGCGUGCUUGGGCGAGAGUAGUACUAGGAUGGGUGACCUCCUGGGAAGUCCUCGUGUUGCAUUCC
This 451-nucleotide ribosomal RNA is filed under the name Kengyilia rigidula. The record is from RNAcentral. Lineage: Eukaryota; Viridiplantae; Streptophyta; Magnoliopsida; Poales; Poaceae.